Molecule: ribosomal RNA, 564 nt
Filed under: Cladosporium cucumerinum
Lineage: Eukaryota; Fungi; Ascomycota; Dothideomycetes; Cladosporiales; Cladosporiaceae
Also listed under: 2 other names
Description: LSU rRNA
Rfam family: Eukaryotic large subunit ribosomal RNA
Source: RNAcentral
CCAACAGGGAUUGCUCUAGUAACGGCGAGUGAAGCAGCAAUAGCUCAAAUUUGAAAUCUGGCGUCUUCGACGUCCGAGUUGUAAUUUGUAGAGGAUGCUUCUGAGUAACCACCGACCUAAGUUCCUUGGAACAGGACGUCAUAGAGGGUGAGAAUCCCGUAUGCGGUCGGAAAGGUGCUCUAUACGUAGCUCCUUCGACGAGUCGAGUUGUUUGGGAAUGCAGCUCUAAAUGGGAGGUAAAUUUCUUCUAAAGCUAAAUAUUGGCCAGAGACCGAUAGCGCACAAGUAGAGUGAUCGAAAGAUGAAAAGCACUUUGGAAAGAGAGUUAAAAAGCACGUGAAAUUGUUAAAAGGGAAGGGAUUGCAACCAGACUUGCUCGCGGUGUUCCGCCGGUCUUCUGACCGGUCUACUCGCCGCGUUGCAGGCCAGCAUCGUCUGGUGCCGCUGGAUAAGACUUGAGGAAUGUAGCUCCUUCGGGAGUGUUAUAGCCUCUUGUGAUGCAGCGAGCGCCGGGCGAGGUCCGCGCUUCGGCUAGGAUGCUGGCGUAAUGGUCGUAAUCCGCCC